This 22-nucleotide microRNA is filed under the name Sphenodon punctatus (tuatara). RNAcentral's name for it is "Spt-Mir-10-P3d_3p* (star (passenger))". RNAcentral also lists the same sequence under 5 other names. The record is from RNAcentral. Lineage: Eukaryota; Metazoa; Chordata; Lepidosauria; Sphenodontia; Sphenodontidae.
ACGGGUUAGGCUCUCGGGAGCU